Molecule: signal recognition particle RNA, 295 nt
Filed under: Aotus nancymaae (Ma's night monkey)
Lineage: Eukaryota; Metazoa; Chordata; Mammalia; Primates; Aotidae
Description: Metazoan signal recognition particle RNA (ENSANAG00000001243.1)
Rfam family: Metazoan signal recognition particle RNA
About the family: The signal recognition particle (SRP) is a universally conserved ribonucleoprotein. It is involved in the co-translational targeting of proteins to membranes.
Source: RNAcentral
GCCGGGCACGGUAGUGAGUGCCUGUAGUCCCAGCUAUUCAGGAGGCUGAGGCUGGAGGAUCGCUUGAGUCCAGGACUUCUGGGCUGUAGUGCGCUAUGCCUGGUGUCCACACUAAGUUCGGCAUCAAUAUGGUGACCUCCCGGGAGCCGGGGACCACCAGGUUGCCUAAGGAGGGGUGAACCGGCCCAGGUCGGAAACGGAGCAGGUCAAAACUCCCGUGCUGAUCAGUGAUGGGAUCGUGCCUGUGAAUAGCCACUGCACUCCAGCCUGGGCAACAUAGCGAGACUCCGUCUCU